This 663-nucleotide long non-coding RNA is filed under the name Homo sapiens (human). Its description in RNAcentral is "novel transcript". The record is from RNAcentral. Lineage: Eukaryota; Metazoa; Chordata; Mammalia; Primates; Hominidae.
AUGUAUAGAUAGAUUGUGUAAGGGUACAAUUGUGAGGACAACAGGAACAUGGCAGAUUAUUUAAAAUCAUACUAAAGAUGAUGCUGUGUCUGAUGAAAGUGAUUCUAAACCAUAGAAAAACGAUUCAAGACAGACAAGAGCUGCAGCAGUGGGUAGAGGACUCCUACAGAUGAGAGAUCGCCCCUUCUGCUGCAAGAAAGGCCUCAACAACUGGGUCAAUGUGGCUGCAGGGAAGCUCAUCCUUUCUCAGAAUGGCCCUACUUGCCCGAUCUCAUGGCUGGCCCUUCAGGACCAUUGAUGGGCUGCCAGCCGCCUCCUCUACCGGGUGUUGUCUGGGAACUCAAACACUCCCUCCAUCUGAAGGUUUUCUGGGACCUCAACAAACUCCUCCACUGGAGUGUCCUCUGGGAACUCAAGCACCUCUUGCACUGGAGAGUCCCCUGAAAACUUAACCACCUCCUCCACUCGAUUGUUCUCCAGGGCCUCAUCCAGCUCCUGCAGCUGUCAGUCCUCUCAGACCUCAUCCACCUGCAGCUGUCAGUCCUCUCAGACCUCAUCAACCUGCAGCUGUCAGUCCUCUGGGACCUCAUCCACCUCCUGCAACUGGCAGUCCUCCCGGAUCUCAUCUACCUGCAGCUGUCAGUCCUCCGGGACCUCAUCCAC